Molecule: ribosomal RNA, 315 nt
Filed under: Triticum aestivum (bread wheat)
Lineage: Eukaryota; Viridiplantae; Streptophyta; Magnoliopsida; Poales; Poaceae
Description: partial small subunit ribosomal RNA
Source: RNAcentral
GCCCCUUUUCAUCAAUGGACUCCUGACGUCUACGAAGGAGUGUGGUUCAUUCGACAAUCCUACCUCUAUAUCUAUCUCUAAGGUGUUUGGGUUUUGCAAAACUCCAUAGACAUGCAGAAGAGAAAUGCUAUCCCCACUCCGACCAAGAUAGAACUUUUACCAAAAGUUUAUUGUGAUCUUUUUGUUCAAAUAAAAAUUAAGGUGAAGAGGGUCAGGAACAAUGAAUCUCUUUAUGAUAAACAGAUCCAUUUUGCAAGUUCGUUAUUACGGGUAGUUCCUACAAAGAAUCGGACUAAUGACGUAUACAAUGCUUGA